Molecule: long non-coding RNA, 1123 nt
Filed under: Elaeis guineensis (African oil palm)
Lineage: Eukaryota; Viridiplantae; Streptophyta; Magnoliopsida; Arecales; Arecaceae
Description: long non-coding RNA (EGUI_LNC010371)
Source: RNAcentral
GAUACUGUACACUACACCGACUCUUUCACCAUUGAUUGCUACUAGCUACUGCUGCAUUUGCUAUUACUGGAGGCUAUGCACUGCCUCCAUUAGCACUUUCAUCUACUGCAUUAAAGCAGCAAGUUGUUGUAGAUCCGUAGUAAUGACCAGAUGCAAAGAAUUGAGCUCUGUCGUUGGAGAUGGAGGUGAUAGAUCUUCUCAGUGGGAAGACUGCCUAGCAAAGCUGGUGGAGUUGUUUUGGACUCUUGUCUUUAUCAUAAUUGGAUUCGUUCUCCUCCCUUCACGAUGCGUCAAUCUGUUGCGGCCAAUCCUCGAGUGCGCUUGAGUUCGUUGAAGAGCUACCUGCAAAACAAACCUGUUGAUCAGAUUUUUAUCCGACGGAGAUCCUUCGAUGCUUAAGUCAGUAGAGAGUAGUAAAUAAUAAAUUUAAAAUAGAAUUUGACAGAGUUUUUAGCCCAAUAUGUCUUCCCCUUACUAUCCCCUUACCUCCGCUUUAUAUAGGUAAUUUAAGUGUAAUCGUCGAACACGUAGAGUCUCGCUUAUUGUGGCAUGAAAGGAUAGUUUACCCCUAUUAUCGGACCAUUACCAUGGAGUUAGUGGAUAGUUUAUGCCCACUAAUAGUCACAGUGUGUAGUAGUUUUUUCCACGAUUGCGGUGUUAUAACUAUAGAAUCUGAUAUAUCGAUUGUGUGUCGGUGAUCUUAGUGUACCGACUGUAUGUCGAUGCUUUUGAUAUGUUGAUUAAUUAUCGAUCGAUGACUCUAAUAUACUGACUAGCUAUCGGUCAUGUAGUCAAUUGAGUCGUUAUGUUUAAUAUGGAAUCGCUAGGGAGUCGAUAGUCGAAUUAUUGACUGAUAGUCGGAUGAUGAGCCUCAUAGAUGCUGUAGUUGGACCAAAACUCGCUCAGUGGUUCGACUUUAACAGUCUACCACCAGAUGCCGACACACAGUCAGGAGGUCGACCAUGAAGCGGGAGAAGCAAAUUCGAUUGUCCCAAUAGUAAUAAUCUUCCUACGUGCAACUGAUGCAAAGGCCGUAGAUACAAGGGGCCACUAGAAAUAGUGUCUCUGUAUAUGUAUGCAUACAAUGUAGUCUUCAAGAGCAUUAUUUUCUAGAUCAUAAUUU